RNAcentral lists this long non-coding RNA (323 nucleotides) under Setaria viridis. RNAcentral's name for it is "long non-coding RNA (SVIR_LNC010604)". The record is from RNAcentral. Lineage: Eukaryota; Viridiplantae; Streptophyta; Magnoliopsida; Poales; Poaceae.
UGAGGGUCCGGGCCACUCUUGACCGUGAGCACGGCUGAUAUAUCAGUUUUAGACACUUUACAGAGGUUGUACACUUUUACCACAAGUCGCGUAAACGUUCAGAAGAACUUCAGACCCAACCAUGCUAUGCAAAAGUAGGCACUUAUCACACUACCGAUGUGUGAUUGCAUAGGGACGCUAUGAGGCCUUUACAAAGAUUCCCUAAUAAGUGGUAACCUGCUAAGGUUUUGAUGUCUGGCGAGCAUAAAUCUCCCUAGUAGGCAUAGUAUCUUAGCAAAGUUCACUUCCCAAGACGACCAGGCUAUACAACAACUCAGUCCCCC